Molecule: ribosomal RNA, 780 nt
Filed under: Phymaphora californica
Lineage: Eukaryota; Metazoa; Arthropoda; Insecta; Coleoptera; Endomychidae
Description: partial 16S ribosomal RNA
Rfam family: Bacterial large subunit ribosomal RNA (bases 1-570)
Source: RNAcentral
UUUGAUAAUAAUUUAAAGUCUAACCUGCCCAAUGAUUAAUUUAAUGGCCGCGGUAUUUUGACCGUGCAAAGGUAGCAUAAUCAUUAGUUUUUUAAUUGAAAGCUGGAAUGAAAGGUUGAAUAAGGAAAAUACUGUCUCAUAUUUAUUUAUAGAAAUUUAUUUUUAAGUUAAAAAGCUUAAAUGUUUUUAAAAGACGAGAAGACCCUAUAGAGUUUUAUAUUAAAUUAAAAUAUAAUAAAUUAGUAUUUUUUUAUAAAAUUUUAAUUUAAUAUUUGAUUGGGGUGAUUGAAAAAUUUAAUUAACUUUUUUUUUAUUAUAACAAUUAUAUUUGAAUUUUUGAUCCUUAUUAGAUUAUAAGAUUAAAUUACCUUAGGGAUAACAGCGUAAUUUUUUUGGAGAGUUCAAAUCGAUAAAAGAGAUUGCGACCUCGAUGUUGGAUUAAAAUUAAAAUUUGGUGUAGAAGCUGAAUUGAUUGGGUCUGUUCGACCUUUAAAUUUUUACAUGAUCUGAGUUUAGACCGGCGUGAGCCAGGUUGGUUUCUAUCUUUAGAAAAUUUUAAUAUUUUAGUACGAAAGGACCAAAUAUUAGAUUUAUAAUUAAUUUUUAGAAUAAAAUUAAAUUAUUUUGGCAGAUUAGUGCAAUGGAUUUAGAAUCUAAAAAUGUAAAUUUUUACAAAUAAUACUUGAAGGAUUUAUUUUUAGUUAUUUUGUCUUUAUUAAUUUUGUUAAUUAUAGUUUUGGUUGGAGUUGCUUUUUUAACUUUAUUAGAACGUAAGGUAUU